GUGGAUUAGAUACCCUGGUAGUCCACGCCCUAAACGAUGUCGACUGGGUGUUGGGGAAGCGAUUCCCUAGUACCGUAGCUAACGCGUGAAGUCGACCGCCUGGGGAGUACGGCCGCAAGGUUAAAACUCAAAGGAAUUGACGGGGACCCGCACAAGCGGUGGAUGAUGUGGAUUAAUUCGAUGCAACGCGAACAACCUUACCUACCCUUGACAUGUCUGGAAGCCUGCUGAGAGGCGGGUGUGCCCGAAAGGGAACCGGAACACAGGUGCUGCACGGCCGUCGUCAACU
Molecule: ribosomal RNA, 289 nt
Filed under: uncultured bacterium
Lineage: Bacteria
Description: partial 16S ribosomal RNA
Rfam family: Bacterial small subunit ribosomal RNA
Source: RNAcentral